GACGAACGCUGGCGGCGUGCUUAACACAUGCAAGUCGAACGAUGACGACCGAGCUUGCUCGGUCUGAUUAGUGGCGAACGGGUGAGUAACACGUGAGCAACCUGCCCUUCACUCUGGAUAACCCCGGGAAAUCGGGGGUAAUAACGGAUAUGAGCCCCUGUCCCCUGGCGGGGGUUGGAAAGUUUUUCGGUUAAGGAUGGGCUCGCGGCCUAUCAGUUUGUUGGUGAGGUGGUGGCUCACCAAGGCGAUGACGGGUAGCCGGCCUGAGAGGGCGACCGGCCACACUGGGACUGAGACACGGCCCAGACUCCUACGGGGGGCAGAAGUGGGGAAUAUUGCACAAUGGGCGAAAGCCUGAUGCAGCGACGCCGCGUGAGGGAUGACGGCCUUCGGGUUGUAAACCUCUUUCAGCAGGGAAGAAGCGAAAGUGACGGUACCUGCAGAAGAAGCGCCGGCUAACUACGUG
This 466-nucleotide ribosomal RNA is filed under the name uncultured bacterium. Its description in RNAcentral is "partial 16S ribosomal RNA". It matches the Rfam family "Bacterial small subunit ribosomal RNA", at positions 28 to 507 of the family's 1533-position model. The record is from RNAcentral.